Molecule: ribosomal RNA, 292 nt
Filed under: uncultured bacterium
Lineage: Bacteria
Description: partial 16S ribosomal RNA
Rfam family: Bacterial small subunit ribosomal RNA
Source: RNAcentral
GUGCCAGCAGCCGCGGUAAUACGGAGGGUGCAAACGUUGCUCGGAAUCAUUGGGCGUAAAGCGAACGUAGGCGGCUUUGUAAGUCGGGAGUGAAAGCCCUCGGCUCAACCGAGGAAGUGCUUUCGAAACUGCAAGGCUUGAAUAUCGGAGAGGGUAGCGGAAUUCCCGGUGUAGAGGUGAAAUUCGUAGAUAUCGGGAGGAACACCAGUGGCGAAGGCGGCUACCUGGACGAAUAUUGACGCUGAAGUUCGAAAGCGUGGGGAGCAAACAGGAUUAGAUACCCCUGUAGUCC